This 949-nucleotide ribosomal RNA is filed under the name Baeomycetales sp. JL-2019b. Its description in RNAcentral is "partial large subunit ribosomal RNA". It matches the Rfam family "Eukaryotic large subunit ribosomal RNA", at positions 33 to 951 of the family's 3401-position model. Lineage: Eukaryota; Fungi; Ascomycota; Lecanoromycetes; Baeomycetales. The record is from RNAcentral.
GGGAAGUUGGUAAAAAGCGGAGGAGAAGAACCAACAGGGAUUGCCUCAGUAACGGCGAGUGAAGCGGCAACAGCUCAAAUUUGAAAUCUGACUUCGGUCCGAGUUGUAAUUUGCAGAGGAAGUCUCGGGUGCGAUACCGGUCUAAGUUCCUUGGAACAGGACGUCAUAGAGGGUGAGAAUCCCGUAUGCGACUGGUGGUCAACCCCAUGUGAGGCCCCUUCGACGAGUCGAGUUGUUUGGGAAUGCAGCUCAAAAUGGGUGGUAAAUUUCAUCUAAAGCUAAAUACCGGCCAGAGACCGAUAGCGCACAAGUAGAGUGAUCGAAAGAUGAAAAGCACUUUGGAAAGAGAGUUAAAAAGUACGUGAAAUUGUUGAAAGGGAAGCGCUUGCAACCAGACUUGCCCGCGGGUGAUCCACCGUCCUUUGGGACGGUCUAUUCUCCCGUGAUCAGGCCAACAUCGGUUUUGGCGGCUGGAUACAGGCCCCGGGAAUGUGGCUCUCUUCGGGGAGUGUUAUAGCCCGGGGUGCAAUGCGGCCAGCUGGGACCGAGGACCGCGCUUCGGCUAGGAUGUUGGCGUAAUGGUUGUCAGCGACCCGUCUUGAAACACGGACCAAGGAGUCUAACAUCUAUGCGAGUGUUUGGGUGUCAAACCCAUACGCGAAAUGAAAGUGAACGGAGGUGGGAACCCCCCGGGGCGCACCAUCGACCGAUCCUGAUGUCUUCGGAUGGAUUUGAGUAUGAGCAUAGCUGUUGGGACCCGAAAGAUGGUGAACUAUGCCUGAAUAGGGUGAAGCCAGAGGAAACUCUGGUGGAGGCUCGCAGCGGUUCUGACGUGCAAAUCGAUCGUCAAAUUUGGGUAUAGGGGCGAAAGACGUAAGUGACACCUUUGAUGUUGUUGAACGAGAAAUUUAGCUAACAUGUGAAAAUAGUAAUCGAACCAUCUAGCCCC